Molecule: ribosomal RNA, 459 nt
Filed under: uncultured bacterium
Lineage: Bacteria
Description: SSU rRNA
Rfam family: Bacterial small subunit ribosomal RNA
Source: RNAcentral
AGAAUCAACGCUGGCGGCGUGCCUAACACAUGCAAGUCGCACGAGAAAGGGACUUCGGUCCUGAGUACAGUGGCGCACGGGUGAGUAACACGUGAAUAAUCUACCUCCGAGUGGGGAAUAACUGAGAGAAAUCUUAGCUAAUACCGCAUAACACUUACGAGUCAAAGCAGCAAUGCGCUUGGAGAGGAGUUCGCGGCAGAUUAGUUAGUUGGCGGGGUAAUGGCCCACCAAGACGAUGAUCUGUAUCCGGCCUGAGAGGGCGCACGGACACACUGGAACUGAAACACGGUCCAGACUCCUACGGGAGGCAGCAGUGGGGAAUUUUGCGCAAUGGGGGAAACCCUGACGCAGCAACGCCGCGUGGAGGAUGAAAUCCCUUGGGAUGUAAACUCCUUUCGAUCAGGAAGAUAAUGACGGUACCGAGAGAAGAAGCCCCGGCUAACUCGCGCCAGCAGCCGC